AAUGAAUUGUCAGAUUUAUGUAUUAAAUUUAGGUUUUAAUUAAGUGACUUUAUUCACAUUCAUUA
This 65-nucleotide transfer RNA is filed under the name Yangisunda tiani. RNAcentral's name for it is "tRNA-Leu". RNAcentral also lists the same sequence under 1 other name. The record is from RNAcentral. Lineage: Eukaryota; Metazoa; Arthropoda; Insecta; Hemiptera; Cicadellidae.